UUCACACCGCCAUUGUUUAUUCAUCGGAAAAGAUAACUUUCACGAUACAAAUAAGAAUCUAAAACAUUGUUUGGAUCUUCACAAAUAGAUCUACAAAGAAUAGAUGCAGAUCUUAUGUUUAUAUCUCUAUCAACUCUUUUCUAAUUCAUUCAAACCGAUAAGAAAAACAGCGUCGUGUUUAUUAUGUUUAUAUGCUUGAAAUGCAGUGCAAAUUUUUGCUAGGGACGCAGCACCGGUGGUUGAUGACACAUACCUCGAAGGUAACAUAGCCAAUGUAACAUAGAGCUCUACGUUUGCAAAUAAUGAGUCUUAUCCAAUUGUGAAUAUCCAUGUAUUAACUUGGAUUGCUAAAACAUGAAUAGGUGGAGACAGAGCAAGGUUGGUCUUGCUGGAUGUGGAUUACGAGGGGAAUGA
RNAcentral lists this long non-coding RNA (414 nucleotides) under Arabidopsis lyrata. Its description in RNAcentral is "long non-coding RNA (ALYR_LNC002799)". Lineage: Eukaryota; Viridiplantae; Streptophyta; Magnoliopsida; Brassicales; Brassicaceae. The record is from RNAcentral.